AUUUCUAGAGAUAGAAAGUUACUUCGGUACAUCGGUGACAGGUGGUGCACGGUUGUCGUCAGCUCGUGUCGUGAGAUGUUGGGUUAAGUCCCGCAACGAGCGCAACCCCUAUUGUUAGUUGCCAUCAUUCAGUUGGGCACUCUAGCGAGACUGCCGGUAAUAAACCGGAGGAAGUGGGAUGACGUCAAAUCAUCAUGCCCCUUAUGACCUGGGCUACACACGUGCUACAAUGGUUGGUACAACGAGUUGCGAGUCGGUGACGGCGAGCUAAUCUCUUAAAGCCAAUCUCAGUUCGGAUUGUAGGCUGCAACUCGCCUACAUGAAGUCGGAAUCGCUAGUAAUCGCGGAUCAGCACGCCGCGGUGAAUACGUUCCCGGGCCUU
This 382-nucleotide ribosomal RNA is filed under the name uncultured Streptococcus sp. Its description in RNAcentral is "bacterial SSU rRNA". It matches the Rfam family "Bacterial small subunit ribosomal RNA", at positions 996 to 1382 of the family's 1533-position model. The record is from RNAcentral. Lineage: Bacteria; Bacillati; Bacillota; Bacilli; Lactobacillales; Streptococcaceae.